Molecule: transfer RNA, 74 nt
Filed under: Oscillospiraceae bacterium
Lineage: Bacteria; Bacillati; Bacillota; Clostridia; Eubacteriales; Oscillospiraceae
Description: tRNA-Gly
Rfam family: tRNA
About the family: Transfer RNA (tRNA) molecules are approximately 80 nucleotides in length.
Source: RNAcentral
GCGGGUGUAGUUCAAUGGUAGAAUUCCAGCCUUCCAAGCUGGCAGUGUGGGUUCGAUUCCCAUCACCCGCUCCA